UGGGGAAUAUUGCACAAUGGGCGCAAGCCUGAUGCAGCCAUGCCGCGUGUGUGAAGAAGGCCUUCGGGUUGUAAAGCACUUUCAGCGAGGAGGAAGGUGGUGAACUUAAUACGUUCAUCAAUUGACGUUACUCGCAGAAGAAGCACCGGCUAACUCCGUGCCAGCAGCCGCGGUAAUACGGAGGGUGCAAGCGUUAAUCGGAAUUACUGGGCGUAAAGCGCACGCAGGCGGUUUGUUAAGUCAGAUGUGAAAUCCCCGGGCUCAACCUGGGAACUGCAUUUGAAACUGGCAAGCUAGAGUCUCGUAGAGGGGGGUAGAAUUCCAGGUGUAGCGGUGAAAUGCGUAGAGAUCUGGAGGAAUACCGGUGGCGAAGGCGGCCCCCUGGACGAAGACUGACGCUCAGGUGCGAAAGCGUGGGGCAGCAAACAGGAUUAGAUACCCUGGUAGUCCACGCUGUAAACGAUGUCGAUUUGGAGGUUGUGCCCUUGAGGCGUGGCUUCCGGAGCUAACGCGUUAAAUCGACCGCCUGGGGAGUACGGCCGCAAGGUUAAAACUCAAAUGAAUUGACGGGGUCAUAGCUGUUUCCU
Molecule: ribosomal RNA, 587 nt
Filed under: uncultured bacterium
Lineage: Bacteria
Description: partial 16S ribosomal RNA
Rfam family: Bacterial small subunit ribosomal RNA
Source: RNAcentral